AUGGCAAAUGGGAUGAAUUCAUUUGCUGAGGCUGAGGCCAACCAGUUCUUGCAUCCAGGAUCCCUGGCUUGUCCCUUUAGAACACAUGAUGAGGUCAGGUGGAGCCAGCAUGAGCUUGAAGUCAGGAGACGGGCUGCAUGCGAGUCUGGCACCUGGUACAAUGAGCGUACAUCUCAGACUCCCAGUCAGUAUUUGAGGAAUGAACAAAUGCACGUUGUGAACUCUGACGGGUUAUGGAAAGCUCUGCCAGUCUCAUAGAAAUUUGCCAAUUUUCCUGGUGUAAAUGCUUCCACCUUGGCUGAUUUCAAGCUACCAGUGUGAUGUCACUGAACAUGGGGCUGGGAAGAGACACAAAUAUCAGUCUUAUGGGUGAGUUCCAGCACACCCCUGAGUGCAGGUGGGUUUUUUUGUUUUUGUUUGUUUGUUUGUUUUGAGAUGGAGUCUCGCUCUGUUGCCCAGGCUAGAGUGCAGUGGUGCAAUCUUGGCUUACUGCAAACUCUACCUCCCGGGUUCACGCCAUUCUCCGGCCUCAGCCUCCUGAGUAGCUGGGACUACAGGUGUCCACCCCGCUCCCGGCUUUUUUUUUUUUUUUUUUUGUAUUUUUAGUAGAGACUGGAUUUCACCGUGUUAGCCAGGAUGGUCUCGAUCUCCGGACCUUGUGAUACGCCCGCCUUGGCUUCUGAAAGUUCUGGGAUUAUAGGUGAGUCACCGUGCCCAGCCAGGGUUUGAACCCCAGGAGAGGGAUCCUGGGGUGAGGACUGGAAGCAGCCGGUAGGGCUCGUGGAGUCCCUGGCAGGGAUGGGCUUGCCUGCCUCCCUAGGUUCUCAGGGCCUGCAUCUAUCUGGGUAUGGAAUGGCUUCAACUGUGUUUCCAUCCUGUUGCCCCCCAUGCUUUUUUGUCCAUGGGAUGUGCCUCUGGAAGUGAAUCUCAUUCAUAUUGCCCUAGCUCUUUCCCUCUGUCAGGUUCACUGGAGGUGAAUGCAAGGGCUUAGAGAGGUGGGGUUGCAAAGAGGGGAAAAGGUGCCUUCCCAGCAAGGAUUCUGUCCUUGGGAUACAGCAAGCCUUUGGAAGAGCCCAGCUUCUCUGUCCUGCAGGACUCUUUGAGAUGAUGCAAUAGGAUGUCAUUUCUGCUCUCCUCCAGUUAGCACAGAGCUGACAUUUGGGAAUGUGCCCCUUUAUGUGUUUACUCCUGGAUCUUCUGUAAUUGCCAUAACCACCACAAGCGGUAGGUAGCUUUCCUUCUCCCCAUGUUGCUGAUGAGAAAACUGGGUCAUAGGGAGGUUUAAGAUUUGUCUAAGACUUGUAGCAAGUACAUGGUGGAGCAGGGUUUAAACUCAAAUCAUUGAUUCUAAAGCUCAUGCUAAAAACCAUUUCACCAUAUAUCCUCUCAGGAAUGUAGACUGGCAUGUGUUCUGUCUUAGGAGGUCAAAAAAAGAGAGUGAUUAAAGUGGUCCUUGAGUUGUACUCUUCUCUCUCUCUCUUUUUUUUUUUUUUUUGAGACGGAGUUUCACUCUUGUUGUCCAGGCUGGAGUGCAAUGGCGCGAUCUCAGUUCACCCCAACCUCCACCUCCUGGGUUCAAGUGAUUCUCCUGCCUUGAGUAGCUCCUGCCUCCCGAGUAGCUGGGAUUAUAGGCAUGUGCUACCAUGACCGGCUAAUUUUGUAUUUUUAGUAGAGAUGGGGUUUUCCAUGUUAGGUUGGUCUCGAACUCCCAACCUCCGGUGAUCUGCCCGCCUUGGCCUCCCAAAGUGCUAGGAUUACAGGCGUGAGCCACCAUGCCUGGCCAAGCUGUGCUCUUAUACAUAUAAUGCUAUGGCUUGAAUGUGUCCCUCAUAAGUUCAUGUAUUGGAAACUUAAUGGUCGUUAUAAUGGUAUUAAGAAGUGGGACAUUUAAGAGGUGAUUAGCCAGGAGGACUCUGCACUCAUGAGUGGACUGAUGCUGUUAUUGCAGGAGUGAGCUCCUGAGAAAAGGAUAAGUUUGGCCUCUUUUCUCUCUGUCUCUUAUGAUGGGCAUAGAUGCCAUGUGAUACUUUCCACCAGAGGAUGACCCUCACCAGAUGCCAGUGCCAUGCUCUUGGACUUCCCAGCUUCUAGAACCACGAGCCAAAUAAACAUCUUUUCUACAUAAAUUAUGCAGUCUGUGGUAUUUUGUUGUAACAGCAGAAGAUAGACUGUGACACAGUGAAUGUCACAUGCUGAGUAUUAUUCUACCCGAUCCUCCCGUCUCUCCCUGGUACAGAGAAACAC
This 2244-nucleotide long non-coding RNA is filed under the name Macaca mulatta (Rhesus monkey). RNAcentral describes it as "lncRNA (ENSMMUG00000060746.1)". The record is from RNAcentral. Lineage: Eukaryota; Metazoa; Chordata; Mammalia; Primates; Cercopithecidae.